AUAAUUGACAGAUACUCUACGGUCUACCGAGCAAAUAUCACCCGCUCGGUGGAAGAUCUUCCCUUUGUCGU
This 71-nucleotide microRNA precursor is filed under the name Bombyx mori (domestic silkworm). RNAcentral's name for it is "mir-2774 microRNA precursor family". It matches the Rfam family "mir-2774 microRNA precursor family". The record is from Rfam by way of RNAcentral. Lineage: Eukaryota; Metazoa; Arthropoda; Insecta; Lepidoptera; Bombycidae.